GUUAAAACCCAAAGCUCAACUUUGGGCCAGCCACCAAUACUGAAAAGCUAGAGAUUGGGAGAGGCAAGCGGAAUUGCCGGUGUAGGGGUAAAAUCCGUUGAUAUCGGCAAGAACACCAAAUGCAAAGGCAGCUUGCUAGAACAUUUCUGACGCUGUCGCACGAAAGCGUGGGGAGCGAAGAGGAUUAGAUACCCUCGUAGUCCACGCCGUAAACUCUGGACACUAGGCAUUGGAAGUAUCGACCCUUUCAGUGCCGCUAUAAAAAAGCUAACGCGUUAAGUGUCCCGCCUGGGUAGUACGGCCGCAAGGCUAAAACUCAAAGGAAUUGACGGGAACCCGCACAAGCGGUGGAGCAUGUGGUUCAAUUCGACGGUAAGCGAGAAACCUCACCAGGUCUUGACAUCCCCAGAAUCCCGGGUUAUGCCGGGAGUGCCGCAAGGAACUGGGUGACAGGUGCUGCAUGGUUGUCGUCAGCUCGUGUCGUGAGAUGUACGGUUAAGUCCGGAAACGAGCGCAACCCUUGUCCUAUGUUAAAUUUGUCAUAGGAGACUGCCAGCUUUAAGCUGGAGGAAGGAGAGGAUGACGUCAAAUCAGCAUGGCUCUUACGAUCUGGGCCACACACGUGCUACAAUGGCCGGUACAAUGGGCCGCAAAAGCGUAAGCUGGAGCUAAUCCCAUCAAAACCGGUCUCAGUUCGGAUUG
This 702-nucleotide ribosomal RNA is filed under the name uncultured bacterium. Its description in RNAcentral is "bacterial SSU rRNA". It matches the Rfam family "Bacterial small subunit ribosomal RNA", at positions 594 to 1300 of the family's 1533-position model. The record is from RNAcentral.